RNAcentral lists this long non-coding RNA (231 nucleotides) under Elaeis guineensis (African oil palm). RNAcentral describes it as "long non-coding RNA (EGUI_LNC018938)". Lineage: Eukaryota; Viridiplantae; Streptophyta; Magnoliopsida; Arecales; Arecaceae. The record is from RNAcentral.
CAGCAUCAACGCCUAAGGCACCCAACAACAAUUAACCCGUCAGCAACCUUAGAAACAUCCGAGCUUCUCUUAGAUUGCUGAGACAGAGAGCUAUUCUGCUCCACCAGAUGUCCCAACCGAGCUUCAGCCGUCUGAUCCGAACUCUCCGAUAAGUCACGAUAACGGACACCACUCCACUCUCUGUAACAAACUCCACGUGGCCCCACUACUCUCCGGCAAGUCACGACAAUG